UGGGAAAGCUGGAUUAAGAUUUAUGAGCCUCUCAAAGCUCUGUUCCAUGGUUCUACCUCUCACCUGCUAAGACCUGACGCAUUGUUUUGAAAGGACUCGAUUUUGCAGCAUGGAAUCAACUGUGCUGUGCGGUGGCACAAAUGUUAUUUGCCUCUUCUUCAGCCAGCAGGAAAUCCCUGGAGAGGGUGCUUGUUCUCCAUGUCUCAUCGACUCUGGUAAACUUUCUCACUUCACAAAGAGAACAUAAGGCACAGUUGGCAGGCAUCCUAUGCAAUGACGAAUAUGCUUACAUCUUCAUGAGGACAUGACAGCCAGCAAGAGUGUUAGAUAGCC
This 333-nucleotide long non-coding RNA is filed under the name Vulpes vulpes (red fox). RNAcentral's name for it is "lncRNA (ENSVVUG00000005948.1)". The record is from RNAcentral. Lineage: Eukaryota; Metazoa; Chordata; Mammalia; Carnivora; Canidae.